Molecule: transfer RNA, 94 nt
Filed under: Klebsiella phage KpGranit
Lineage: Duplodnaviria; Heunggongvirae; Uroviricota; Caudoviricetes; Demerecviridae
Also listed under: 2 other names
Description: tRNA-Ser
Source: RNAcentral
GGAAGAGCAACCCGAUAGCUGGCGACGGGAUCUGUCUUGAAAAUAGCCGAGCGUUAAUAGCGCCUUGGGAGUUCGACCCUCCCCUCUUCCGCCA